RNAcentral lists this ribosomal RNA (1448 nucleotides) under uncultured organism. RNAcentral describes it as "SSU rRNA". It matches the Rfam family "Bacterial small subunit ribosomal RNA". The record is from RNAcentral.
GCUACAGGCUUAACGCAUGCAAGUCGAGGGGCAGCAUUUUAGUUUGCUUGCAAACUGAAGAUGGCGACCGGCGCACGGGUGAGUAACACGUAUCCAACCUGCCGAUAACUCCGGAAUAGCCUUUCGAAAGAAAGAUUAAUACCGGAUAGCAUACGAAUAUCGCAUGAUAUUUUUAUUAAAGAAUUUCGGUUAUCGAUGGGGAUGCGUUCCAUUAGUUUGUUGGCGGGGUAACGGCCCACCAAGACUACGAUGGAUAGGGGUUCUGAGAGGAAGGUCCCCCACAUUGGAACUGAGACACGGUCCAAACUCCUACGGGAGGCAGCGGUGAGGAAUAUUGGUCAAUGGGCGAGAGCCUGAACCAGCCAAGUAGCGUGAAGGAUGAAGGCUCUAUGGGUCGUAAACUUCUUUUAUAUGGGAAUAAAGUUUUCCACGUGUGGAAUUUUGUAUGUACCAUAUGAAUAAGGAUCGGCUAACUCCGUGCCAGCAGCCGCGGUAAUACGGAGGAUCCGAGCGUUAUCCGGAUUUAUUGGGUUUAAAGGGAGCGUAGGUGGAUUGUUAAGUCAGUUGUGAAAGUUUGCGGCUCAACCGUAAAAUUGCAGUUGAAACUGGCAGUCUUGAGUACAGUAGAGGUGGGCGGAAUUCGUGGUGUAGCGGUGAAAUGCUUAGAUAUCACGAAGAACUCCGAUUGCGAAGGCAGCUCACUAGACUGUCACUGACACUGAUGCUCGAAAGUGUGGGUAUCAAACAGGAUUAGAUACCCUGGUAGUCCACACAGUAAACGAUGAAUACUCGCUGUUUGCGAUAUACAGUAAGCGGCCAAGCGAAAGCAUUAAGUAUUCCACCUGGGGAGUACGCCGGCAACGGUGAAACUCAAAGGAAUUGACGGGGGCCCGCACAAGCGGAGGAACAUGUGGUUUAAUUCGAUGAUACGCGAGGAACCUUACCCGGGCUUAAAUUGCAACAGAAUAUAUUGGAAACAGUAUAGCCGUAAGGCUGUUGUGAAGGUGCUGCAUGGUUGUCGUCAGCUCGUGCCGUGAGGUGUCGGCUUAAGUGCCAUAACGAGCGCAACCCUUAUCUUUAGUUACUAACAGGUUAUGCUGAGGACUCUAGAGAGACUGCCGUCGUAAGAUGUGAGGAAGGUGGGGAUGACGUCAAAUCAGCACGGCCCUUACGUCCGGGGCUACACACGUGUUACAAUGGGGGGUACAGAAGGCGGCUACCUGGUGACAGGAUGCUAAUCCCAAAAACCUCUCUCAGUUCGGAUCGAAGUCUGCAACCCGACUUCGUGAAGCUGGAUUCGCUAGUAAUCGCGCAUCAGCCAUGGCGCGGUGAAUACGUUCCCGGGCCUUGUACACACCGCCCGUCAAGCCAUGAAAGCCGGGGGUACCUGAAGUACGUAACCGCAAGGAGCGUCCUAGGGUAAAACUGGUAAUUGGGGCUAAGUCAUA